This 607-nucleotide ribosomal RNA is filed under the name Enterocytozoon bieneusi. RNAcentral describes it as "SSU rRNA". It matches the Rfam family "Microsporidia small subunit ribosomal RNA", at positions 295 to 908 of the family's 1311-position model. The record is from RNAcentral. Lineage: Eukaryota; Fungi; Microsporidia; Enterocytozoonidae.
AAACCUUUUCCACUCCUUACGGGGGAGACAGUCAUGAGACGUGAGUAUAAGACCUGAGUGUAAAGACCUUAGGGUGAAGCAAUUGGAGGGCAAGCUUUGGUGCCAGCAGCCGCGGUAACUCCAACUCCAAGAGUGUCUAUGGUGGAUGCUGCAGUUAAAGGGUCCGUAGUCGUGAAUGCAAUUAAAUGUCGUUGUUCAAUAGCGAUGAGUUUGCUAAUGUUUGCGGAACGGAUAGGGAGUGUAGUAUAGACUGGCGAAGAAUGAAAUCUCAAGACCCAGUUUGGACUAACGGAGGCGAAGGCGACACUCUUAGAUGUAUCUUAGGAUCAAGGACGAAGGCAGGAGUAUCGAAAGUGAUUAGACACCGCUGUAGUUCCUGCAGUAAACUAUGCCGACAGCCUGUGUGUGAGAAUACGUGGGCGGGAGAAAUCUUAGUGUUCGGGCUCUGGGGAUAGUACGCUCGCAAGGGUGAAACUCAAAGCGAAAUUGACGGAAGGACACUACCAGGAGUGGAUUGUGCUGCUUAAUUUAACUCAACGCGGGAAAACUUACCAGGGUCAAGUCAUUCGUUGAUCGAAUACGUGAGAAUGGCAGGAGGGUGGAAUGG